GAUGAACGCUGGCGGCGUGCCUAAUACAUGCAAGUCGAGCGAACAGACGAGGAGCUUGCUCCUCUGACGUUAGCGGCGGACGGGUGAGUAACACGUGGAUAACCUACCUAUAAGACUGGGAUAACUUCGGGAAACCGGAGCUAAUACCGGAUAAUAUAUUGAACCGCAUGGUUCAAUAGUGAAAGACGGUUUUGCUGUCACUUAUAGAUGGAUCCGCGCCGCAUUAGCUAGUUGGUAAGGUAACGGCUUACCAAGGCAACGAUGCGUAGCCGACCUGAGAGGGUGGUCGGCCACACUGGAACUGAGACACGGUCCAGACUCCUAAGGGAGGCAGCAGUAGGGAAUCUUCCGCAAUGGGCGAAAGCCUGACGGAGCAACGCCGCGUGAGUGAUGGAGGUCUUCGGAUCGUAAAACUCUGUUAUUAGGGAAGAACAAAUGUGUAAGUAACUAUGCACGUCUUGACGGUACCUAAUCAGAAAGCCACGGCUAACUACGUG
This 497-nucleotide ribosomal RNA is filed under the name uncultured bacterium. RNAcentral describes it as "partial 16S ribosomal RNA". It matches the Rfam family "Bacterial small subunit ribosomal RNA", at positions 28 to 507 of the family's 1533-position model. The record is from RNAcentral.